UUACGGCCAUACUACGUUGAAACGCUAGUCCUUAUACGAUCUCCGAAGUUAAGCAACGUCGAGCCUUGUCAGUACCUAGAUGGGUGACCAAUUGGGAAUACCAGCUGCUGUAAG
This is a non-coding RNA of Acanthosepion pharaonis, 114 nucleotides long. The record is from the annotation of a GenBank genome assembly. NCBI's taxonomy places the organism in Eukaryota, Metazoa, Mollusca, Cephalopoda, Sepiida, Sepiidae.